RNAcentral lists this long non-coding RNA (364 nucleotides) under Equus caballus (horse). Its description in RNAcentral is "lncRNA (ENSECAG00000055087.1)". Lineage: Eukaryota; Metazoa; Chordata; Mammalia; Perissodactyla; Equidae. The record is from RNAcentral.
AAGAAGAAAUUCCACCUCUGGACUGCAGCAUCAGCUCAUAUAACCUACUAGUCUGUUUCUCUGGAGAACCCCUGACACAGAUGUUCUGGAAAGUGGAAAUCAUCCCUCUCAUUCUGCAGAUGAGAAGCAUAAAUGGUGUGGCCAGAAUUUGGACUCCGGUCUGGUGCCAGGACUAGGAGAAGAACACACCCUGUCAAGCCCAAAGAGAGUGAAAAACACAUCACUCUCGGAUGAUCAGAUAGACUGCACAUCUGAGACCUGAAGCUUAAUGAGGAGCCUCCAGGCCAAGCCCCACCCAGCUCCCCCAGCCCAAGGUAGUCCAAAGGUGUGUGAGAAAUAAAUGCUGAUUAUUGUGUGUCACUGA